This 253-nucleotide ribosomal RNA is filed under the name uncultured bacterium. RNAcentral's name for it is "partial 16S ribosomal RNA". It matches the Rfam family "Bacterial small subunit ribosomal RNA", at positions 524 to 776 of the family's 1533-position model. The record is from RNAcentral.
UACGAGAGGCGCAAACGUUAUUCGGAUUUACUGGGCUUAAAGAGUUCGUAGGCGGCGCAGUAAGUAGGGUGUGAAAGCCCUCGGCUCAACCGAGGAAUUGCGCUCUAAACUACUGUGCUCGAGGGACCUAGAGGUGAGCGGAACUGAUGGUGGAGCGGUGAAAUGCGUUGAUAUCAUCAGGAACACCGGAGGCGAAGGCGGCUCACUGGGGGUCUUCUGACGCUGAGGAACGAAAGCCAGGGGAGCGAACGGG